Molecule: non-coding RNA, 1304 nt
Organism: Poecilia reticulata (guppy)
Lineage: Eukaryota; Metazoa; Chordata; Actinopteri; Cyprinodontiformes; Poeciliidae
Source: the annotation of a RefSeq genome assembly
CUUCAAUAUACAGAUAAAUCAUUUUCAACUUAGAAUCCUGUGAUCCCAAACCCAAUAAUCUCCACUCAUGUACAGGAAAGUUGCAUGAAUCUCAGCUGUAAGGACUUUCUCUGCAGCUACUGCACAGCUGGAGUCAGAAACGAAGCAAAACAUCUGGAGAGGAUUACUGUGAAGUACACUGGAGCUUUAUACAGCAAAGAUUCACUAGACAAAAAAGUUUUGUGACAAUUUAAACACCUUUAGCAAAACAGCAACUUUACAUAAACAAAUUUAUCCAACCUUAGACGUUAGUACUACAAUGUGAGGCAGCACACAGUAACAACAGAUGUACAGAAACUAGUCAGAAUAAUCUGAAUAGUUUCAGGAGAGAUGCCCUCACUCCAUCAGUUGUGCACUUCAUCUUUUCUCUACGUCCAUUGAUGUACCUCAUCAUACAUCUAAAAACAGUUCCAAGUAAGACUGGGAGUUUACCACAGAUCUCAGUUCCUCCCUUUUCUCAGGAGGGGUUAAUGCAAAACGUUUGGCCUUAUUUAUCCAACUGAAGAGGUUGACGGAGAACAAACAACAUAUAAUUAAGCAGGAUGGAUCAUAGAUUAGAGCUACUUAUUUUUAUUAUCUGGAUGGCAGGUGCUGAUGGUCAGACUCUGACACAGUCUGGAUCAGUGAGUAAAGUCCCUGGAGAAUCCCACACACUGACCUGUACAGGUUCUGGAUUCACAUUCAGCAGCUACUGCAUGAACUGGAUCAGACAGGCUGCUGGGAAAGGACUGGAAUGGGUUGCUGCUGAUUGUGGCGGCAGUAGCAAGUACUACUCACAGUCAGUCCAAGGACGCUUCACCAUCUCCAGAGACAACGGCAAACAGCAGCUGUAUCUGCAGAUGAACAGCCUGAGGACUGAAGAUUCUGCUGUUUAUUACUGCGCUCGAGAGGCACACUGACUAAAGUUGAUUCAGUAGCUGUACAAAAUCACAAAGGGUCUUCAAAGUCAUUUAUUCAGUACUUUUAUAUAAAUUUAACUUAAAAAAAAGCAACAAAAAAAAAGAAAAAAAUGUUAAGACUAUUCUUUAUUUCUAACCAAUUAUCACUUUACUAUGCACUAAAUGACAUUCAGUUAAAUAUGGCACAGAUAAUAAGUCUAACUUUGGUCCCAAAAUAGUUUAUUUGAGAAUAAAUAUGCCACAAAUUUAUCCAGUGUUUUUUUUUACAUAGCUCAUGUCGUCAUGUAAGACAUUGUAAAUACUAGAGUUAUUAAACAACAAGUUUAAGUCACCUAAGUUACCCUGCAGGUAUGACCCAACACAGUG